GUGAAUCAUCGAAUCUUUGAACGCAAAUUGCGCCUUCUUCGGAAGGCAUGUCCGUUUGAGGGCACCAUUUAUCAAAUAAUGUGAAGCGCUUUUUGUUGCACACGUUGAUGUGCUUUCCAAGACUCAUAAAUUUUUGGUGGCGCAUAAUGAACAGCGUGAAAGUUUUUAUUAGUUCGUGAAUAGUAAUAUCUAUGCUUGGGUUGUGAAAAAACAUAAUCGCGCAAUGGGUGUGGCAAUUUCUUUUUAUCCCUGCCGCAAUGACACUCUUCAACACGAA
This 277-nucleotide unclassified non-coding RNA is filed under the name Paraglomus occultum. RNAcentral describes it as "partial contains 5.8S ribosomal RNA and internal transcribed spacer 2". The stretch from base 1 to 65 matches the Rfam family "5.8S ribosomal RNA", at positions 84 to 154 of the family's 154-position model. The record is from RNAcentral. Lineage: Eukaryota; Fungi; Glomeromycota; Glomeromycetes; Paraglomerales; Paraglomeraceae.